GACGAACGCUGGCGGCGUGCCUAAUACAUGCAAGUAGAACGCACAGUUUAUACCGUAGCUUGCUACACCAUAGACUGUGAGUUGCGAACGGGUGAGUAACGCGUAGGUAACCUGCCUGGUAGCGGGGGAUAACUAUUGGAAACGAUAGCUAAUACCGCAUAAUAUUGAUUAUUGCAUGAUAAUUAAUUGAAAGGUGCAAUUGCACCACUACCAGAUGGACCUGCGUUGUAUUAGCUAGUAGGUGAGGUAACGGCUCACCUAGGCGACGAUACAUAGCCGACCUGAGAGGGUGAUCGGCCACACUGGGACUGAGACACGGCCCAGACUCCUACGGGAGGCAGCAGUAGGGAAUCUUCGGCAAUGGACGAAAGUCUGACCGAGCAACGCCGCGUGAGUGAAGAAGGUUUUCGGAUCGUAAAGCUCUGUCGUAAGAGAAGAACGGGUGUGAGAGUGGAAAGUUCACACUGUGACGGUAUCUUACCAGAAAGGGACGGCUAACUACGUG
RNAcentral lists this ribosomal RNA (505 nucleotides) under uncultured bacterium. RNAcentral describes it as "partial 16S ribosomal RNA". It matches the Rfam family "Bacterial small subunit ribosomal RNA", at positions 28 to 507 of the family's 1533-position model. The record is from RNAcentral.